UGGGGAAUCUUGCGCAAUGGGCGAAAGCCUGACGCAGCGACGCCGCGUGCGGGAAGAAGGCCUUCGGGUUGUAAACCGCUUUCAGGAGGGACGAGGCCACUCGGGUUAAUAGCCCAGAGGGUGACGGUACCUCCAGAAGAAGCCCCGGCUAACUACGUGCCAGCAGCCGCGGUAAUACGUAGGGGGCUAGCGUUGUCCGGAUUUAUUGGGCGUAAAGAGCGCGUAGGCGGCCGAGUAAGUCCGACGUGAAAUCUGGAGGCUCAACCUCCAGCGGUCGUUGGAAACUACUCGGCUAGAGUCCGGAAGAGGAGAGUGGAAUUCCUGGUGUAGCGGUGAAAUGCGCAGAUAUCAGGAAGAACACCGAUGGCGAAGGCAGCUCUCUGGGACGGUACUGACGCUGAGGCGCGAAAGCGUGGGGAGCGAACAGGAUUAGAUACCCUGGUAGUCCACGCCGUAAACGAUGGGUGCUAGGUGUGGGCGGUGUCGACUCCGCCCGUGCCGAAGCUAACG
Molecule: ribosomal RNA, 510 nt
Filed under: uncultured Actinomycetes bacterium
Lineage: Bacteria; Bacillati; Actinomycetota; Actinomycetes
Description: bacterial SSU rRNA
Rfam family: Bacterial small subunit ribosomal RNA
Source: RNAcentral